CGAGUCGGUCGGAUGAUCGCGGGCAGCAAUGUUCGAGGAAAGUCCGGACUCCAUAGGGCAAGAGUGGUGGAUAACGUCCACCUGGGGCGACCCACGGGAAAGUGCAACAGAAAGUAAACCGCCUAGCAAUAGGUAAGG
Molecule: RNase P RNA, 138 nt
Filed under: Actinomycetota bacterium
Lineage: Bacteria; Bacillati; Actinomycetota
Description: Actinobacteria bacterium partial RNase P RNA component class A
Rfam family: Bacterial RNase P class A
About the family: Ribonuclease P (RNase P) is a ubiquitous endoribonuclease, found in archaea, bacteria and eukarya as well as chloroplasts and mitochondria. Its best characterised activity is the generation of mature 5'-ends of tRNAs by cleaving the 5'-leader elements of precursor-tRNAs.
Source: RNAcentral